AUACCUACGGGACGCAGCAGUGGGGAAUAUUGGGCAAUGGGCGCAAGCCUGACCCAGCAACGCCGCGUGAAGGAAGAAGGCUUUCGGGUUGUAAACUUCUUUUAUGAGGGACGAAGGAAAUGACGGUACCCCAUGAAUAAGCCACGGCUAACUACGUGCCAGCAGCCGCGGUAAUACGUAGGGGGCAAGCGUUAUCCGGAUUUACUGGGUGUAAAGGGAGCGUAGACGGAAAGGCAAGUCAGAAGUGAAAACCCAAGGCUCAACCAUGGGACUGCUUUUGAA
RNAcentral lists this ribosomal RNA (282 nucleotides) under uncultured bacterium. RNAcentral describes it as "partial 16S ribosomal RNA". It matches the Rfam family "Bacterial small subunit ribosomal RNA", at positions 335 to 631 of the family's 1533-position model. The record is from RNAcentral.